GAAAUGNGAUANGUAAUGUGAAUUGCAGAAUUCAGUGAAUCAUCGAAUCUUUGAACGCACCUUGCGCCCCUUGGCAUUCCGAGGGGCACACCCGUUUGAGUGUCGUGAAAUCCUCAAAACCCCUCUUUUCUUUCAUCGGAACGGGGGAUUUUGGACUUGGAGGUUCAAUGCUUGCUUUUGCUUUCAAAGGCGAGCUCCUCUUAAAUGAAUCAGUGGGGUCCGCUUUGCUGAUCCUUGACGUGAUAAGAUGUUUCUACGUUUUGGAUCUGGCACUGUUUUCUCCGCUCCUAAUCGUCUCAUUGACAACGAUGGUGCUUCGGUCCCUGCCAUCUA
This 333-nucleotide ribosomal RNA is filed under the name Russula sp. 314-87. Its description in RNAcentral is "eukaryotic LSU rRNA". The stretch from base 1 to 105 matches the Rfam family "5.8S ribosomal RNA", at positions 50 to 154 of the family's 154-position model. Lineage: Eukaryota; Fungi; Basidiomycota; Agaricomycetes; Russulales; Russulaceae. The record is from RNAcentral.